ACGAGGUUCAACAGUAAAGAUAAGCUGUUAUCUUCAUCUUCACCAUCAUUGGAUGGCAGCCUAACAGAAAAGGCGGGGGUGACCUAUAAAAGAAGAAGAAAAACAUUAGUUGUGCAUUCACGGCGCAGGAAAAGAACUCUUCCCUCCCCCCGCCCUACUUUUAAUCGUUGCGAUGUUCAUUAUGGGAUACUCACGUGAAUACAGUUGAUCCAUUCUCAAAUCAAGAUGAAGAUCUUCCCUUGAAAUUCAGAUCUCGCAAGGCAUCUGUUACCAGGAGUAAAUCCUUAAGCAGCAACGGAGCCUUCAACGCUCUAUUCACAGCCGCUAACUCGCUAAUACGGAAAGCACCGAAAAAUGCAAGCAAGAAGACAGCUUUGAAUAAAGAAGUUUCAUAGGAAAAGGAACAAAUGGCUGACCCCUGUCAAAGCCUUCCUGUAAAAACUGAAGAACCGCCACCAGCGUGUCAUGUUAUGCCUUAUGAUUGGAACACCACUUCAAAUAAAUUCUCCGAACCCUUGAAUAGGUUUUCAUUGUAGAUGGUCUCCUGGAGGACAUGAUUGUAUCCAUGACCGCAUUGGAGAGGUCCUGGCUUGCGAGUUCUCUCCGCUCAUUCUCCAAACCGUUAAAUGGAGUCUGGACAAAUCUGGAUGGUACAGAUGAGCUUGGGAUAAAAGAUUCUGGCACAGUGGAAGUUUCCAAUAUCUGCCUCUCGAAAGCGACAACGCAAGCAGAAACCAGGCCCUCCUGGGCCAAAACGGCAUUGAUUCUGCCUCCUCGACCAUGAUCUUCUUCAAAGUCCUCAUGAUGAGAGGAACGGGGGAAAAGCAUAUAUCAGCAUGUUCUUCCAUGAACUGGAUAGACCGUCUAGAGCCCAGGGCCGAUCCUGUUUGUAGAGGGAGCAAAAUUUGGUCGUCUUGGCAUUCUCCCUUGUGAGGGACACCACCCCUCAUGCCCCAACUGAUGUCAGAUGUCAACUACAUCGAGCUCACGAGAUACAGUAUGGUCACUGGUUACCAAGG
Bufo gargarizans (Asiatic toad) is the source of this 1019-nucleotide long non-coding RNA. RefSeq lists it as uncharacterized. The transcript is spliced from 4 exons. The record is from RefSeq and is a predicted model, not a curated record. NCBI's taxonomy places the organism in Eukaryota, Metazoa, Chordata, Amphibia, Anura, Bufonidae.